AGUUAUACAUACGUUGCAUUUUGUCAAGUUUAUAAACUUAACAGAAAACAAUUUUGUUUAUUUACGAUGAGUCAUUUCGUUACUUAAGCUUUCCGCUUGAUGGUAUUAAGAACAUCAUAGCAUAGAGGUGGGAGUGAAAAACGUUAAGUAAGCUUCAAAGAGUCUCGAGAGGAAAAAUCGUGUUAGGCGAUUAAGUGUAGGUAUAUCUUAAAAACUGACAAAUUUCGGCUCAACGGUGAGAAAAAAAAGCUUUUCAUCUGGCAUUUUUAUUUCGUCACACAUCUCUGAUAUAUUUGCCUGGACUGAACCAGAUCUUCUUACGAAACGAAAAUUUUAGUUCUCUUUGUAUUAUUUCUGUUGCCGACCCGAAGGAAUGAUCGCGGUCUCGCUACUUAGAAGAUAUCUUCCCAAGUAACGUUUCGUAAUAGCAUGGAUUAGUGUUCUUGUAUUUUCGCGGAGACAGCAACUGUUCGCAUUGUUGCGAUGCGACAUUGCGAACUGCCAACUAAAACCGUGCGAUUAUUUCAAAAUCUCUUUGCCUAGUGUCUCGUAUUUUUUGACUUUGAUGUUUCUAUUCCACAAAGACUGACAAUCGUAAAACUGUAAUUUAUUAUACAACUGUGUCUUUCGUUCAUCAUUAUCAAAACUUCCGAUGUUUAUCCAUUUACGAGAAAUUAAAAUGAGCAAAAAUAUACAAAAUAUCUAAAGUAAAGUAUACUCGUCACAACUUAGAGGGUGAAAUACAUUUCUAUUAAAAUUAGAUAGAUGUCUUUAUAAAUAAAAAUAUUUGUAUUGUAAGCGAUCGAAAGAUUUUUUGGGCUGUUUCAUAGUUAGAUAAACUCACAUCGAUGGAAUAACGUAAAAGAGAAAUCACGUAACACAGGAUAAAACUUCGAACUGCUACUUCGCUAGUACCGUUUAAUAUCAUAGCAUAGAUCUCUAGGGAUUUAUUUCAACCAGAGCCAAAUCCAAAAGAGUAUUUGAUCCUCUUUGUCAGAUUGUACUGCAAUCUCGGGGAAAAAAUUGUUCUGGACCCUAUCACCACGGUGUAUCCCUUCCCUCAAUCUUGUAUUCCAAUUGUUUUAUCUACCUUCGACAAAACUAAUGAAAUCUUAUUACAGAUUGCGUUAACGAACCAGCGAAUUUUCAUGCUUUAAAAUAAUGCCGGCACUAUCACAAAAGGGUAGAGUAACAAGUCGGAGAAAAAUUAUCUCACGACUGCAUAGACAUUUACAUUUUUAUCUCGUCGUAGGUUUCUAGAAGAUAAAUCUCGGACCGCCCUAGAUUCGCGAAUAAUUCGGGGAAAAGGUUCCUUUUUCUAGGCAUUUUUCCUGCACCGCCGUGCAAUAGUUACAACGUCGCGAGAGUUGGCAAACAGAAGCCGACUGGUUUAACCGAUAAAGUUCUGUAAUAGCGUGGAUUAGAGUUCCAAGCACUUCUCUUCGUGGGUGAACAGGAGUCCACCCCACGACAAUUACCGAAAGUGUCUGCAAGCGCGCUUGGGUUCGUUCGGAUGAAUAUUGGAUCGCCAGAUUUGGUAACUUUUACGCCUCGAGUGGCACCCGUGGGUAAAAUAACUUGGAUAACGUUUAAAACGAUCGUGUUGAAAAUCAGCUAGUCGCUACAAAUCACGGACGAACGCUGUUAUCGCGAUUACUACACCAGCGACUUUAUAGCGUAUACUUUUAUAGUGUGCUAAUUACUGAGUGGUCAGCGAUUGUCGACUUGGCCAAACAGAAAUGUGCAGCAGAGAAAAAGUUUGACGUAAAUUAAUUAUUAAAACCGUUCAAAUACAGAGAUUGAAAAUGCUAACGAUGAUGUUAUAGAAAUAUUUGCGGAUAAUUUUUUAGAAAUAUCAAGUCAUGGAUAUCAUAGAUAUUUAUUUCAUUUUUCCUUUAUUCCAAAUUUUUAUUAAAGAAAGCUUCUAUUUUGAACAAACUAUACAUUCCUAUUUGCAAUAAACGUGAAAUUUUUAGGAAGGCGAUAAUGUUUUUCAGGGGAAACCUCUCAAUAAAAUUUAUUUCGAACCGCCUUUGCCGCGGCAAGUUUCAAUGCGGUAGAAUUUAUAUAAAGAAUCGAAAACGUUUUCUACACGCGAUAACUCUUCUAAAGACGGUUCUGCCUGUUCGACCUAAAACCACAUAAGAUGCAAUAUACCUUUUCUCCUCCUUCCUUUUUCGUUCAGCUUCCACUUUAAGGAGACGCAUUUUAUUUACUCUAACCGAUAGAGUUAUAUACCACAAUGGAAUAAGCGUGUUUAGGCUUCUUCGCCGUUUAGAAUCCAUAUUCUAUGGGUAGGCAGUAGGUAAGUAACAUUGUUACAAAGCGGAUAAUUGAAUUUCUUCUCUAGCGAUAAAAUUAAAUUCAGAGCAAAUUUUCUGGUUAUUACCUUGAUAAUUUAAUUCUGACAAAGAAAAAUCUUGGGAAUGUUAUAUCGAUUCUCUUUCUUUUGUUCACUUUUUUCUAGGAUAUGGCGGGGCUACAUUUCACAACCUAAGUGUUGAAAAUCGCUCCGAACUUAAGACCCAAGAAAUUCAGAUCUUUCUACGGUAGGUGUUACACGCGAUUAUAAAUGGUAGCAUAUUAAGCAAAUUUUUAAUCAAAAAGUUCUGUCAUGGAAUUAAAAAUUAAUAGACACAAAUUAAUUUCAGUCAGAUUAGCAAAUACAGUAAUUUAAAUUGAUUUUGAUAAGAAAGGAAAGGGCAAAGAGUAAUUAUAGACGUAAAAGUUACAAUUUUGCCAUUUCGAACAAUGUACCAGCAUCGUCGUUACGUUCACGAAAUUCGUCGAAAUUAUAUACACCAACAAUGGUCGAGUCAAAUCCCUUUCAAUUGUUGCGAGAACAAUUAUUGCAUCGCUUACCGAAGUACUAUCGAACCAUGAAACAUUAGAGAAUGAGUAACAACGUGCCGGAAGUAGAGGUUGCGUGCACACAGCGAUCUCUAAUGGAACCAGAAAUUAAAUCGCAGAAUUCGAGUUAUACCACAACAAUCACAUCGACUAUAGAUAGUAUUUUCAUCGAUAUUGGCGAUACAGUAACAGCCAUGAUAUGAGCACGUGAUACAAAUCGAGCGCGAUGGUCUAUGCUUCAAGAUUCAAUCGAUUUAAACUAAUUGAUAUAUCGUAGUGUUUCUUGGUGUUGCUAAAAGAAACCUAAUAACUUUUCAAAACUUUACAAACUUCGCAAUAUUUUACAAAAAUAUCACGUAAUUUUAGAUUAAAUUGUAAAAGAACAAUGGAAAAACGACGAAAAAUUUUACAAAGCCUAAAAUCAUUAAUUUAUUACUAACAAAAUAUGCCUCAAAUCGAUAACUCGUACCUUCAGUUAUGGCGAACCUCUAAAACAAACUCGACCACAAUCAAAGGGAAUAAUCGAUCUUGACGAGUACCACUACGUUCACGUGGAAGGUUUGAAAGAAAAAUGCAAGUUCUCAUACGAUUUCACUCCCGCAAGGAACUAAUCGCACUAAUUUUUCUGUGAAUGCUCGGCAUUCCUAACCACCUGGCGUGCUAUUCUCUUUCCGCUAAGAUAAAGAGAGCCUCGGCAUUCAACUUCGUGCAUUAACGUCAGAAGCAGGCGAGGCAAUCCGUUUGCAUUUCGCACAUAGGCGUCGCUGCACGUUCGAUGUUCGUGGCUGCUGCUGUUGGCCUCUCAAGAAAAAAGAACUAGGAGUGGUGGAAAGAGGGAAGAACAAGGUGGAUAUCUGGUCGCGGGUAAGUCGGAAAAUCGAUCCUCGCCAACCAGUCGGUCGUUUCGCGUCUCUUGGUGACUGUUUCAGAGCCACGAUGAAAUAUGGCAUUAACGUUCUGCUCCAUUGAGGAUCGCGUACUGUUUUUCCACCCUCUGUUCUCUUUUUUCUUCCAUUUUUUGUUCUCCCUCGAACUGUCACACUCGGUCCAGCGUCGAGAAAUCAAUUUUUCUCGUGUAACCGGUGUAACCCGUGGCGGACCACCGCUGCGCCGGACGUUUCGGUGUUAUUGGUCAAAAAGUGCCAGUGUAACGCGACCGUAACAACAGGCAAACCCAACUAAUGUCGUUUCGAAACCUCAUGGAAGGAGCUGCCGCACGGCUGUCUCCUUUUCUUCUGUACCUCUUCAGUCCGUUUGUUGAACGUAUUGUCGCGGUUGGGCGGAAACCAUCGUCUCCACACAUAGAACGCUGUUACUUUUUUACGAUGAUAAAGUCAAUUCUUUUUUUAGAAAAAUUACAUAAUAAUAUUUUUAACAACAGUUUUAGAAUAGAGCGAAAUUUUGAGCAUUAUAUCUAUGCACGACAAAGCAUAUGGAAUUUGUUUAUGAUGAAAACAUCUGAACUCUUGACGUAUCAGUAAAUUUACAACAUGCAUACCAGUAUAGGAAAUUCAAACAUCGACGUGAAAGUGGAAAAUAUCUGAGGACUUGCGAUAUUGAUUACUGCGGAGGAUCAAUAGCCAUUAUGAUGCGGUGGUUGAUGGUCGUUGACAGUGAGUCAUAAGGGAUUUACGAGGCGGUAUAAACUACAGAACUUCUGUGCCCCGUACCACGAAAAGCAAGGAGAGGAAGAGGGAUAAAGCUCGCGACUGCUAAAUUGUAAUCUUCGCCCAUAAACGGCAUUUUAUCACCAACUGCCUAUUAUAUCUUCUAACUUUUUGGACUAAAGGAACAAAAUGUUCUUCAUGAUUUCCUUUGUCUGCUAAUAAUUUCUUAAAAACUUAUCAAGGAAUUUAAUUAGCAAUUAAUUAUUAACUAAACAUUCGCGUCCUUAUUGAAUGAAUCAUUUUACCUGUGAUAUUCACCUUGAUUUUUUUACUUUUAAGUUAAAUAAAUUAUCAUAAUCAAUCAAUUUCUCCUUUGUAAAAUAAAUUAAUUUUCUUGACGGACACAAUAGGCAUAAAAACCUACGACAUUUUACUUAUAAUCGUAUAAUGGAACCCGCAGCUUUGUACGAUGAGACGCGAAAUUUUUGUUCGGUUAAGUUAGUCAUUUGGCGAACUUUGUUCCCUGGAGUUCUGGCAUUCGCUUUUAGCGAGUCGACUACUCUUUGCAGCUUCGUUUACUGCCCUUAGCAGUACACUUAGACGCUGCAAUAUAGUCUUGUGUGUUUAACUAUCUUUAGCCGUUACUGUUCCAAGUUUUCAAAUGAAACGCGAGCCUCGAUGGAGUGGAAGACAGUGUUCGCGAAAUUUCUACGCUUCCGACGAACGACAUUUACAGAACCCUCUACGCGAACCCGUGGUUUCUUGAUUAGACAUUUAAACCGAUAACGAGGUGAGCGUUGAGUAAAGAAGAAAUUUUCCCCAUUCUAGCAAAUAGCAUACAAGACGGAUCGAAUGUGUAUCGAGCAAACUCGGAUUUUAAUUAAAUCCAGCAGUAAACGUAAACUUCAACGAGUUAGUUGGUCUAUUAUCUGGCGUCUUAGCGUGUUUCACAUUUGCAACGCAGUGAUAUUCGUUUAUUCACACAUGCAAAUGUUAUUUCAACCCUUUAGAACGCUGUAUUGCUGCUUUGCUUUAAAAUAGUGGCACGUCCCAACAAAUUUUAAAUUUGCUUUUAUCGAAUAGAAGGUCGAGAGUUAUGUUUCUGUUUUUAUUAUGUAAAACGGUAUAUUUAUUAUUUCAUCAGUUUUGCGUUGGAAGGAAAAAUUAUUGUUAUGCUGUUAUCAAUCUGUCCUUAGCUUAACAGCACUGGUUGAUCUUCAGCUGUUUUCGUGACGCUACAAGUGGAAGGUCAUACUGCUUUUGCGAAAAGUGGCGUAUUUUGUGUUAAGACAGCCUUGUAAUGUCGUUGUAACGACUCGCCAAGAUUUCUUUGUAAAUUUGAAAACGCCUCUCCUUUAAAGGCUACAUUUUUUGAGUUGUGCCAUUAUGAAAGCAAAGCAGCGAUAUGACAUGAAAGUUACAAGGUGAGAAAUUGCGUUUAAUUAUAAUUUUUAUUCUUACAAGCAAAUAGAAUUCUGGUUAAUAUUUGUCGUGUCAGCAUACAAGCAGUUCAGAAGGAAACAAUACAGAAUAAUAGGAUAAUAUAUAUCUCUGGAGAUAGUAAAAAUUGUAAUAAAAUUGUUUCGCAAAUUCUCGGUUAAUUGUAAUGCUAUAAACCAUACCAGAUUAAUAUAGUAAUGGCUUAAGUGCGCUCCCGGACAACGAUAUUUAUUCAUUACGAGUGGCUGCGUAUUUUCUAUACAUUUUCGACUGAAUUGGUGAAUAUGGAGAUUCUAAUUACCUAUAUGCACAAUUUCUCAUUGCAAACCUGUUUCUGUCACCUAACCUAACGUGCCACCUCCGUUCUAAUAAUGUUUUAUUCAUGAGCAAAGAUUUCCGCUGCAAUUUAUAACACUCUGGCGGACCAGUUUGAGUAAUGUUUUCGCGAGGGAGAACAAUAAAGAAACAAUGCAAAUGUAGGUAUUUGCAAAUUACGUCCGCUUUAUGUAAUUCUUUCCUAAUUGUAUUAGAGAACAAUUCGCGUUAUUUGCCGAUGUUUAUACUCGCUUACAAUCAGAUUAAUUAAGUCGAUAUCGUUUGGUUAUAGAUGAUCACAAUAGCUCAAAUUACAUUUUCGUCAUAUUAAUUUUAAUUACCAGAUAUAUCAUUUUAAUUUUUUGCAUAAAAUAGGAAAUAGAAAUGAAAAUGAAACAUUUAAAAAUUUAAUAAUUUAAUACAGUUUGUUACGAGUCACCAUCCAACGAUACAAGUUGAGGAUUAUCAUUAAAAUUAAUAGAGAGAUUGAAAACCUCUGUCUAUGCGGUAUGAGACCUCUUUCCAUAAAAGUAGAAUUGUACACAUCGAAAUGUGUGAAGCAAUUAAAACUUUUACGUCAGCUUACAGACUGUUGAACAAAAAAAGAUGACUAAGUUGGAAACAGGCUGACAAACCUUAUGAAAAUAUUUCUGUUUCGCGAAUAUAUUAAGAACAUAAAUAAAAAAACAA
Long non-coding RNA from Bombus terrestris (buff-tailed bumblebee), 6902 nucleotides. RefSeq lists it as uncharacterized. The transcript has 2 exons. Lineage: Eukaryota; Metazoa; Arthropoda; Insecta; Hymenoptera; Apidae. The record is from RefSeq and is a predicted model, not a curated record.